CUGAGGAUGUUUAUCUCCAUCGACUUCCCAUUAAGGAAAUCCAAGUGUCCUUGGAGCAAGAGGGAAAUGGCCCUGUGGGAGUUCGGGAAUGCAGGUAGUACACGCAGGGCAGCAUCUGUCACUUGACUGAACAGAACUGGGAGUACUCACAGGGUUUAGAACACAGCAAGGGGACAAGACUGUGACGGCCCCAGGUGGAUAUUGUGAGUGGCAAGGUCCUGUGUCCUGAGACCUGGGCCACAAAGAUGACACCUAGUAUCCUCUGAGGCUCACAGAUUGUGCAGGCAGAAUGACAUUAAGGAUCUGAGAUGAGAUCAUCCUGGAUUAUCCACCGACAGAAAUGUCACCACUGUGUGCUCCUGAGGAGAUGGCGAGCAGUGUGCUACCACAAGGAGGCUGAGACCACGUGUGUCAGACAGGGUCCCUGGGCAGUCCCCAAAGGAGUGCCAACCCUCAGCCCCCUGGCCAUGGCAGGGUGUGCUGGUGCCCAGGAGAAGAGUACUCACCUGCGGCUGCUGUGGGCACAGUGACCCUGUCCCGCUGGGCUUUGGGCCAAGGAGAUGGGACUACCAUCCAGCCUCAUCAUCCACCAGGAGACUAUGAGGCGCCCUUUCACUUUCCAGUUGGGCAAAAGCCAGACAUCCUGGAGUAGGAAACUGCUUACGGGAACAAGGAGGAGCGAAUCACAGGCCCUGCGGGAACAGGACUGGGAUCUUGGGGAGCAGCCAUGUUACAGUGGUGCACAGGGGUGUGUGGAAGAGUGACCAGGAAGCCUGGGUGUCUGGAGCUGCCUGUUGCCGGGCCUUCCAGGCUGGGUUGGACUCUGCAUGUGCUGACCUGAUCACCUGCCUGUGUCCCUGCUGUUGGUGGAAGUGGGACUGAAGCUCCCUGUACCACAGCCCAGAACUUCUGGGUGGCUCUGAGCUGCAGGAGUGAGAGGAGCUGCGCUGUCCUAGGACUCAGGCUCGGCUGCCCUGUGCACGAGGGAAAGGUGUGUCACCACUAGAGGGUGUGGAGGAGGACUGUGCUGGAUGGAUGAUGGCCCUGCUGCGGGCAGACUGGACCUCCUUUGGAACUGGCCUAGCUCUGCACACACCUGUAUGU
Octodon degus (degu) is the source of this 1104-nucleotide long non-coding RNA. RefSeq lists it as uncharacterized. The transcript has 4 exons. The record is from RefSeq and is a predicted model, not a curated record. NCBI's taxonomy places the organism in Eukaryota, Metazoa, Chordata, Mammalia, Rodentia, Octodontidae.